UACGUAGGGUGCAAGCGUUAAUCGGAAUUACUGGGCGUAAAGCGUGCGUAGGCGGCUAUGUAAGACAGAUGUGAAAUCCCUGGGCUUAACCUAGGAACUGCAUUUGUGACUGCAUUGCUGGAGUGUGGUAGAGGGAGAUGGAAUUCCGCAUGUAGCAGUGAAAUGCGUAGAUAUGCGGAGGAACACCAAUGGCGAAGGCAAUCUCCUGGACCUGCACUGACGCUCAUGCACGAAAGCGUGGGGAGCAAACAGG
Molecule: ribosomal RNA, 253 nt
Filed under: uncultured bacterium
Lineage: Bacteria
Description: partial 16S ribosomal RNA
Rfam family: Bacterial small subunit ribosomal RNA
Source: RNAcentral